CUUUCUCUGGCUCCUGCUGUUCUCUUGCACUUGGUUGUCAGCAGGCUUCUCUGCAAUUUCCAUCUCUAGAGGAAGACACAGCACAUUGGCAGGUUGCCUUUUAAAAUGACAGAACUUCACGGCAUGUGUGCAUUUGCGCUGCCUGGAGUAACUACGCUGGCCAUGUCAUGUGAAUAAGGUCAGAUCAUACUAUUUAUUCUCUGUUGGCUUUAUGCCUUCUGACGCACGUUUGAAAACUGCAGGGGUUAUAAAAAACAGAUAAUCCUGACAUUUCAAUUUCAUUGUAUCAAAGCAAAUUGCCUUUUACUAAUAAGUAUGUUAGGGAAUGAAAGUUGGCAACAACCUAAAGAGAGACAGAGCGCAGUGUGAAGAAGGAUGAAUUUGACCGUCAAAGAAAGAAGCCGCCAACAACAUGAGCACAUUACUUCCAUUUUAAAAGUAAAGAAAAUGACAACCCUCCCCCCCCAACCUUCAAAAUUAUCAUAAUGUAAGCCUAAACAGAAACACAAAACCGUAAUUUCAGAAGCCAUGUUUGUGUUCACGCUUCAAUACAGGAUAUAUGUAAAAAAAAAAUCACAGAAAAAGCUUUCUUCUACUCUAUCUAUAACUACCAUGUGCUUUAAUAAGAACAACCUCUUUAAUGCCUUUAGAUACGGAUUCCAUCCGUUAGCACUGUGAGAAAUGGAACACACCAACAGCGUCAUAAAUGAUGACUUAAAACUCCAGAUUGACAAGAAAAGGAACUCUGAAAACAAUAAAUAUGAACCUCACAACUAAGGGCGGAAGAAAGAGCUCUCAAGUCCUGCAGCGAGGAGUGGUAACAUUUUCAAGACUGCUGUCGCUCUAAGUACCUUCUACGCAUCUUGCUUCGGCGAACUCAGGUUCGCUUGAGGCCAUCUUGCUCGCUUCCUCGGACCUUACUGCACAAGGCGGACUCUUUGCUCGGGACAAGAAGCAUCCAAACGUCAAACUGCUCAGACGCUGCCCUUCUGAGGGCUUUGGGCUGGAGACACAGGAUACUUUCUUCUCUUGGAGUUCUGUUAGGUCAUCAAGCAAAAUGGAGUUGAAUUUUUUUAUAGCGGUUUAUCAGAUGAACAAAAGCAUGAAAGGACUUAAAUAAACCACUCUUAAUACCAGGGAAAAAAA
Rattus norvegicus (Norway rat) is the source of this 1146-nucleotide non-coding RNA. NCBI's taxonomy places the organism in Eukaryota, Metazoa, Chordata, Mammalia, Rodentia, Muridae. The record is from RefSeq and is a predicted model, not a curated record.